RNAcentral lists this ribosomal RNA (197 nucleotides) under Doryteuthis opalescens. RNAcentral describes it as "partial 16S ribosomal RNA". The record is from RNAcentral. Lineage: Eukaryota; Metazoa; Mollusca; Cephalopoda; Myopsida; Loliginidae.
AUUGAGCUUGUAAUUUUAUUAUUUGGACGAGAAGACCCUAUUGAGCUUGUAAUUUUAUUAUUAUUAGUAUUAUUUAUUCUUAUUGGUAGUAUAUAAAUUUUAAUUGGGGUGAUUAAGGAAUAAGGUUUGUAGUUUUAGUAACUUCCUUAUUAAUAAUGAUUGUUAAAUAAAGUAACCAAUAUUAUUGCUUAUACUAU